CCUACGGGUGGCUGCAGUGGGGAAUAUUGGGCAAUGGGCGCAAGCCUGACCCAGCAAAGCCGCGUGAAGGAAGAAGGCUUUCGGGUUGUAAACUUCUUUUGUCAGGGACGAAGCAAGUGACGGUACCUGACGACUAAGCCACGGCUAACUACGUGCAAACAUCCGCGGUAAAACGUAGGUGGCAAGCGUUAUCCGGAUUUACGGGGUGUACAGGGCGGUUAGGCGGGGAGGAAAGUCAGAUGUGAAAACCACGGGCUCAACCUGUGGCCUGCAUUUGAAACUGUUUUUCUUGAGUGCUGGAGAGGCAGACGGAAUUCCGGGUGUAGCGGUGAAAUGCGUAGAUAUACGGAGGAACACCAGUGGCGAAGGCGGAUUGCUGGACAGUAACUGACGCUGAGGCGCGAAAGCGUGGGGAGCAAACAGGAUUAGAUACCCUUGUAGUC
Molecule: ribosomal RNA, 443 nt
Filed under: uncultured bacterium
Lineage: Bacteria
Description: partial 16S ribosomal RNA
Rfam family: Bacterial small subunit ribosomal RNA
Source: RNAcentral